RNAcentral lists this long non-coding RNA (213 nucleotides) under Elaeis guineensis (African oil palm). Its description in RNAcentral is "long non-coding RNA (EGUI_LNC006573)". Lineage: Eukaryota; Viridiplantae; Streptophyta; Magnoliopsida; Arecales; Arecaceae. The record is from RNAcentral.
AUGGUUAUCUAUAUCUUGAAGGAACAAAAAUUGAUAUAAUUGGUGGCCUAGUUCCUAAGACCUGCUUUUCAUCAAUGUGAUUGGACCAAAUUUUUUUAUCUAAUCACAUAUGUAUAUGUAUGUGUUGGUCUAAUCUUUCAAUUAUAUCAACUUUCAAGUGUCAAUAUACGCUUCCGAUUGUUUAACUCAAAUGUCAAAAUCCCAGCCAAAAGC